This 630-nucleotide ribosomal RNA is filed under the name uncultured Microsporidium. RNAcentral describes it as "bacterial SSU rRNA". It matches the Rfam family "Microsporidia small subunit ribosomal RNA", at positions 19 to 661 of the family's 1311-position model. Lineage: Eukaryota; Fungi; Microsporidia. The record is from RNAcentral.
UGACGCAGAUGCUAGUUUCUGAGAUUAAGCCAUGCAUGUUAACUGAAAGAAAUGGAAGGACGAACGGCUCAGUAAGACUGCGAUGAUUUGGUCUGUUUGUUGAAAUAACCAUUGGAAACGAUGGCUAAGAGAGCAGAAUAAGUUGCAGACCUAUCAGUUAGUUGGUAGUGUAAAGGACUACCAUGGCGAUGACGGGAAACGGGAAAUCAGGGUUUUAUUCCGGAGAGGGAGCCUGAGAGAUGGCUCCCACGUCCAAGGACGGCAGCAGGCGCGAAAAUUGCCCACUCAUUUGUGUGGAGGCAGUUAUGAAACGUGAAAGUAUCGACGGAGAUUAGAAAUCUCUGUUAAAGGAAUUGGAGGGCAAGUUUGGUGCCAGCAGCCGCGGUAAUACCGACUCCAAGAGUGUGUGUGAGAGAUGCUGCAAUUAAAAAGUCCGUAGUCGUGACAAGCUAAUGAAAUGGUGGUUCUAUAGACCAUCAGAAUUAGUUUAUGUGGUGGAACAGAUAGGGAAGAUAGUAUAUUCGGGCGAGAGAUGAAAUGUCAAGACCCCGAGUGGACUAAGCGAGGCGAAGGCGAUCUUCUUAGAUGGAUCUGCAGAUCAAGGACGAAGGUUGGAGGAUCGAAAGUGAU